Molecule: long non-coding RNA, 702 nt
Organism: Ipomoea nil (Japanese morning glory)
Lineage: Eukaryota; Viridiplantae; Streptophyta; Magnoliopsida; Solanales; Convolvulaceae
Exons: 3
Source: RefSeq, a predicted model, not a curated record
UUUCAGCCAUUCCAUUUCAUUUCUGUCUCUCCGCUUUCCAGAACCAUCUGCGAUCUCUCAUCUAUGAUUUUGGAGAUCGCAGUCUCUCGUCUUUGCCGAAGAAUUCUUCAACGGAAAUCACUCAGAAACAGAACGGAGGUGAAGAAAGUAUCACUAACACCCAUACCAGAACAGAAAAAAAAACCUAACCAUCUACAUAUCAGCGACCGUCGACACCAGUCUGGCGAUAGACCGUUCUACAGAAGCAAGUCAAGCUCCUUGCUUUUAAGCUUUCCAGGCAACUCAACACUCAUGAAUUUCUCAGAGCAAAGUGGGGCUUGUACUGAUCUCCAAAUUGAAGAACCUGAAUUAAAAGCAAGGUCCUUUCUCUGAUUUUGCUCCAUGGAGCCGUAGGCGCAAGAGCUGCAAUUUAUUUUAUCCAUGUACCACAACAGCAGUAAUGUGGGCUACUUCAGGUCAAGCUCCUUGCUUUUAAGCUUUCCAGGCAACUUAGAACUCCUGAAUUCCUCAUAGCAAAGUGGGGCUUGUACCCAUCUCCAAAUUGAAGGACAUGAAGAUAAAGCAAGGUCCUUUCUCUGAUUUUGCUCCAUGGAGUUGUAAGCAGAAGUGACAAAAUUUAUUUUAUCCAUGUACCACAACAGCAGUAAUGUAAUAAUGUGGGCUACUUAUAUGUUAUAAUUAUUCCAUAAACUCUUUUACCAA